Molecule: ribosomal RNA, 255 nt
Filed under: uncultured bacterium
Lineage: Bacteria
Description: partial 16S ribosomal RNA
Rfam family: Bacterial small subunit ribosomal RNA
Source: RNAcentral
UACGUAGGGACCAAGCGUUGUCCGGAAUCACUGGGCGUAAAGGGCGCGUAGGUGGUGGCUUAAGCGUGCGGUGAAAGCUCGGAGCUCAACUCCGAGUCGGCCGUGCGAACUGGGCUCACUGGAGCAUAGUAGAGGCAGGUGGAAUUCCGGGUGUAGCGGUGGAAUGCGUAGAGAUCCGGAAGAACACCGGUGGCGAAGGCGGCCUGCUGGGCUAUGGCUGACACUGAGGCGCGACAGCGUGGGGAGCAAACAGGG